GACGAACGCUGGCGGCGUGCCUAAUACAUGCAAGUAGAACGCUGAAGGAGGAGCUUGCUUCUCUGGAUGAGUUGCGAACGGGUGAGUAACGCGUAGGUAACCUGCCUGGUAGCGGGGGAUAACUAUUGGAAACGAUAGCUAAUACCGCAUAAGAGUAGAUGUCGCAUGACAUUUGCUUAAAAGGUGCAAUUGCAUCACUACCAGAUGGACCUGCGUUGUAUUAGCUAGUUGGUGAGGUAACGGCUCUCCAAGGCAACGAUACAUAGCCGACCUGAGAGGGUGAUCGGCCACACUGGGACUGAGACACGGCCCAGACUCCUACGGGAGGCAGCAGUAGGGAAUCUUCGGCAAUGGACGGAAGUCUGACCGAGCAACGCCGCGUGAGUGAAGAAGGGUUUCGGAUCGUAAAGCUCUGUUGUAAGAGAAGAACGAGUGUGAGAGUGGAAAGUUCACACUGUGACGGUAUCUUACCAGAAAGGGACGGCUAACUACGUG
RNAcentral lists this ribosomal RNA (495 nucleotides) under uncultured bacterium. RNAcentral describes it as "partial 16S ribosomal RNA". It matches the Rfam family "Bacterial small subunit ribosomal RNA", at positions 28 to 507 of the family's 1533-position model. The record is from RNAcentral.